Molecule: ribosomal RNA, 429 nt
Filed under: Chloroflexota bacterium
Lineage: Bacteria; Bacillati; Chloroflexota
Description: Chloroflexi bacterium partial 16S ribosomal RNA
Rfam family: Bacterial small subunit ribosomal RNA
Source: RNAcentral
UGGGGAAUAUUGCACAAUGGGCGCAAGCCUGAUGCAGCCAUGCCGCGUGUAUGAAGAAGGCCUUCGGGUUGUAAAGUACUUUCAGCGGGGAGGAAGGGAGUAAAGUUAUUACCUUUGCUCUUUGCGGUUACCCGCAGAAAAAGCACCGGCUAACUCCGUUCCAGCAGCCGCGGUAAUACGGAGGGUGCAAGCGUUAAUCGGAAUUACUGGGCGUAAAGCGCACGCAGGCGGUUUGUUAAGUCAGAUGUGAAAUCCCCGGGCUCAACCUGGGAACUGCAUCUGAUACUGGCAAGCUUGAGUCUCGUAGAGGGGGGUAGAAUUCCAGGUGUAGCGGUGAAAUGCGUAGAGAUCUGGAGGAAUACCGGUGGCGAAGGCGGCCCCCUGGACGAAGACUGACGCUCAGGUGCGAAAGCGUGGGGAGCAAACAGG